This is a non-coding RNA of Coturnix japonica (Japanese quail), 2262 nucleotides long. NCBI's taxonomy places the organism in Eukaryota, Metazoa, Chordata, Aves, Galliformes, Phasianidae. The record is from RefSeq and is a predicted model, not a curated record.
CCCCCAGCUCGUGCCGUUCCCGCCGUUGGCCGCCAGGUGUCGCGCGCGUCCCGCUGAGGGCGGCGGUGCCGGGCGGGGCGGGCUCCGUGUGGGGACGGCGGCCGAGGAGCCUCGUGUCCGGGCGGUGUGUGCGCAGCGCGAGCAGACCACGAGCAGCACUUCAAGAUCUGCCAAAACUACCCAACCGAAGACUUUUUCCCUAUGAACAAUAAAUGAACGGACAGUACAGACACCGUGCUCCUGAUAGAAACUGCAGCAAGUUGUGUAGGAACACAUCUGGGAGAACUGUACGUGCUGAGGUGGUGCAUCUCAUCUGCAGGUCAGUGCAAGAAGGGAUGGUUCAGUGUUACAGGAAUAGCAAACCCUGGGGCAUCCACAGAAACAUAGUUAGAAGUGUCAUAUAAAGACGCAAAUACUUCUACCAUUCUUAGGCCAUCCUUGCCAGGCUCAGGUAUUUGUCAAAACAAAUUACCGGGUCACACUCCCUUAAAGCUUUUGUUGCACAAUGGUGUCUUGUAUCUAGAAGCAAUGUGUACGCUAAUCACCCACUUCCUUCUCAGGAGUUAAGCCUUUACAUUUCAGACAAUGCUUCAGAUGAAAAAACACUUCACUUUGCUUCAAUUCAGGUAAACUGGCUAAAGGAAAUUCUUUAGCUGAGGGCUCUUUCUGUUCUAUUCUGGCCAGACCUGGGACACAAACUGCUUGCUCAGAAUUGAUUUAAGAGGUCGGAGUGAGCUGGCUGCUCUGCAAGCACGAAUCAGCUGCAGAACAGAACACACACAUAGUUUGGAAUUUGGGUUGUUCGUUAUACCAGUAGAAAGUAGUGUUUACACUUACCUGAAAUGGCUCUGGGUUAAGCCUCCUCACGAUCUCUGUGAAUUCUGCUGCGUAGUAUGUUGAAGAACAGAACCAUUUCCUCCUUAAUAACAUUAAUGAAGAUUUCACAUGUAAAUUUAGUCCUUGUAAAGCAUCAAAAAGUAAAUAUUUAGGUAUUUUAUUAGAUGUCUACCGAAGUCAAGCUCAUUGCUCUAAGUAUAAUUUGGUUUUCAUCACAACUAGAUGUUGUCAGUAAAUGUCUCAGUGUUUUGGUUCGAUAGCUGAACUGCACACCUGCAGAAAUGCAGGACUGAUCAGACCAAACCAAUCAUUCAUUUCAACACGUUUUUGUGGGUUUUUCAGUAUUUACUUUUUCAACCCCCUGCCAUCCCCCUAAGGGCUGUAGCCUGCAAGGCGCGCACACUCCAUGUCUAAAUGAUGUUCCCGUACCUUCCCUAUCCCUCGCCCUCAACAGGCAGCAUUUCAGAAGCACAGUUCUAAGAAACAUUUCAAUAUGUGCAAGUGAUCUUUGUUGGCGUAACUGUAAAGGAAUGAAAUACACAAGUAAGUGAUGGGCUGUUUCUAUGGACAAAGAUCACUACAACUUUAUAAAUAAACUACCAUUCUAGAAUGCUAAAUAGUCAAGAGAAAUUCAAGGUGAGUUUAGUACAAUUUCUCCGUGUCAUUGAAGAGAUCAGUCUAUUCAGUAAUAAAAUACUGUACAUUCGUGCCCCAGCAGCGCUGUGCAGCAUCUUUAGGAACCAACCAAACAAAAAAUGCCAAGCAAAAAAAACCCACAAAAUUUAGCAAGGUGGGACUGCCCGUAAUAAAGCAGAUAUUUACAGUAAGCACAAUACAGCAAUUUAUUUAGAUGUUUAAAUGAAGAAUACAAAGGGAAAUAAAGAUCACAAAAUUAUACAUACUACAACAGUGUGUCAUAUAUUAGAUGGUAUAAAUGAAUGCAACACCUUGUUGGUGUUAACUAAAGAUAAAACUAAAUAUCCAAAACACAGCACUUUUGUUUUAAGUGUGCUGCUUCAACACAAUACACUUUUAUACAGAUCUAAAAGGUGUCAAAAUUAGUAGCUGCAAACUUGUUUCUUGCAUGUGACUUUUCAUCUUUAGCUUAAAAGAUUUCAGAAAAUGGCUCUGAAAUACGUUUGUCAUCUGUUGUAAUGUCAAGGAUAUUCAGAACAAGAAAAUUCUAUAAUACAAUAAGAGUCCAGAUAUAUUUUUUUAAUGGUGCUGGCCUCUGUUUUUGAGAUUGUACAAGGUUAUGUGCAAAAACUAAGUUUGUCAAAAUUCAUACUAUAGCAGUUUCAAGCUUUUGCUAAGUAAACUAAAUACAGCAUUUAUUACACAGCAGGGCAACACUAAAAAAGAGAAACAAAUCUAUGAUGGGUACACAAGAACAAUUUCAUAAGCUUCACUUGAAUAGGUCUAAAA